RNAcentral lists this ribosomal RNA (208 nucleotides) under uncultured bacterium. RNAcentral describes it as "partial 16S ribosomal RNA". It matches the Rfam family "Bacterial small subunit ribosomal RNA", at positions 568 to 774 of the family's 1533-position model. The record is from RNAcentral.
CGUGUAGGCGGUCCGCUAAGUCUGAUGUGAAAGCCCGGGGCUCACCCCCGGAAGGGCAUUGGAAACUGACGGACUCGAGUCCCGAAGAGGAGGGUGGAAUUCCUGGUGUAGCGGUGAAAUGCGUAGAUAUCAGGAGGAACACCGGUGGCGAAGGCGGCCCUCUGGACGGUGACUGACGCUGAGACGCGAAAGCGUGGGGAAGCAAACA